GUUUCCUAGGGUGUGUUUCGGAGUCUGGAGGACCCCUGAUUCCAGACGUUGGUGUUUAAAAGUUAAGGCGAAUGUGGAAACACCCGAGGGGAACUUUCUCAUGCAUUAGCGCACCUCGAGGUGGGAGGGGAAGCGGUGACUGUCCUCCCUCCACCAGCCGUCGCGGGAACCCGUGGGGUUCAGUGAAGGGUCCAGCAGUUCAGGUGCCCGCCCCGGGCCUGGGCCUUGGCUCCGGGCUACAGUGUGAGAUCCCGGGCUAGGUGGCCCGCCUGGGGCAGGUCGCCGGGACAACCCCACCGCCCCGCAAGUCCAGCCCGGCCUCGGGCACGGUAGGGUUUGCGGUUAAGCUUGUGACCUUUAGACUUCUGAAUAUUCAUAUGUAUGAAAUGUGAUAUACAUAAAAGUGUGCAUAUCAGGAAUUUACAGUGAUUAAUGACCAGAGUGAACACAGCUGCGUAGCCGACACCGGGAUCCAAAACACCGCUAUUCUGAAAGCCUCCCUCUUUCCCAAAAGGCAACCGCGAACUCAACACUACAAAUUCGGUUUGCUUGCUUUUGCUAUAAAUAGAAUCAUGCAGUAUGCUUUUUUUUUUGGCCUAGUUUCAUGGAGUCUAUAUUAUGUCUGGAGUCCAUCCAGGUUGCAUACAGAGAUGGUUUGUUUGCUUUUGCUGCUGAAGAGAAUUCCAUUGUAUAUAUUAUACCAUAAAUUACUUAUUCUGCUGUUGAUAGACAUCAAAGUUGUUUUCAGUUAGGGCUAUUCUGAGUAAUGCUACUAUGAAUUUUCUGGUACGUGGUUCUGAUGCACGUUUGCAUGAGUUUGUCCUGGAGUGGGACUGCUGGGACAUAGGGUAUAUCUAUCAUCAAUAAGUAAUGCCCAACAGUUAUGCUAAGAGGCUGAAAUAAUAUACACACUCCAGCGGUGUGUAAGGGUUUUCAUGGCUUCCAGCUUCAGCCUUCUUGGCAUUUUAACUCUAUAACUUCAGCUAUUCUGAUGGGUGUGUGGUGGUAUUGCACUACUGCUUUGCUUUGCUUUUCUCUAAUAACUAAUGAAGCUGAGAACCUUCUCAUGUGUAUGGUGCCCAUUCUGAUAGCUUCCUUGGUUAAGUGUUCUUUCGAGUCCCUGGCUCAUUUUUUUUUUUUCCUUAUGGAGUUGUCUGCCUUUUUUCUUAUUGAUUUGUGGAAUUUCUUUAUAUAUUAGGGAUAUGAACACAC
Molecule: long non-coding RNA, 1212 nt
Filed under: Homo sapiens (human)
Lineage: Eukaryota; Metazoa; Chordata; Mammalia; Primates; Hominidae
Description: non-protein coding lnc-LRRK1-3:8
Source: RNAcentral